CGAUCUCCAACAAGCGUACAAUAAAGAAUAAUUUAAUAUACUCCUACUCCUCACCUAAACUAAUACAAAUACUCUUCACCCUCUCUCUAAAACAAGAGACAUAUUUAUAGGGAAAAUAAAUGUGUGCCCUAAUUUAGAUUUAUUGAACUUAGUCUCUUUUGUUCCCUUUUCAUGUAGGUUUCAUCUUACUAGUGACAAUCAACUUCUCAAAGAGAUCUUCUAGAUAUAUUUU
This 232-nucleotide long non-coding RNA is filed under the name Panax ginseng (ginseng). RNAcentral describes it as "long non-coding RNA (PGIN_LNC017743)". Lineage: Eukaryota; Viridiplantae; Streptophyta; Magnoliopsida; Apiales; Araliaceae. The record is from RNAcentral.